Long non-coding RNA from Erinaceus europaeus (western European hedgehog), 766 nucleotides. RefSeq lists it as uncharacterized. The transcript has 2 exons. Lineage: Eukaryota; Metazoa; Chordata; Mammalia; Eulipotyphla; Erinaceidae. The record is from RefSeq and is a predicted model, not a curated record.
UCAAACAAAUCAAAAGACGAGAAUACUUGUAGUGAAGUGACACAGUUUUAAGCAGUUCCAGGAACAGUCUGCUGAUCAAAGAGUGAAAUAAAGAGAGAAAUCAAAUACGGGAAAAUCAUUAAACGAUCUCAGAAUGUUUUAAAUCAACAUUAAAUCACUGAUAAAAGGUAAAAUAUAGUCAACACAUACCUGUGAUCUUGGAACAACCACUGCAUUCCAAUGGAGGAAAUGGAUACACAGGACUCCUAUGGUGGGAAUGACUGUUUUUAGUAAUUUUGUAAAUCACUAAUAAAAAAAACCCAAUAAAGCUGAAAGUGGAAAAAAAUCAAUCCUCUUUCCAGUGUAUUACAAAAUUAAUCCAUACAAAAUGCAGUGAUUACUGAUGAUAAAAAUGCAAGGUGACUGACACAUAUUAUUUAGAGUUGACUGGGAGUAGUUGUAUACUUCCAGAUAGCUGGAAUGACUCUGGACUAAAAGCAGAAUAGUACUAAGAAUAAGCAAUAUCCUCCAAAUUAUUUUGUGGAUAAGAUGAUGUACUUUUAUUGAGUUCAUCCACAGAACAUUAGAAGAAUUUGAAAAAAGAGUUGUAAAGUAAUUCUACCCUACCAAGAGAGACAAGUGACGAAAUACAAGAAUUGAUAUUGCAGACCAAUUGAAAAAGUGUAUGAUGGAACUCUGGUUGUGGGAACAUGUGGAAUUUUACCCAGAUUAUCUUAUAAUUUUAUAAGUUAGUAUUACAUCACUAAUAAAGAAAUUUGAAAAAGUG